RNAcentral lists this ribosomal RNA (731 nucleotides) under uncultured bacterium. RNAcentral describes it as "bacterial SSU rRNA". It matches the Rfam family "Bacterial small subunit ribosomal RNA", at positions 28 to 752 of the family's 1533-position model. The record is from RNAcentral.
AUUGAACGCUGGCGGAAUGCUUUACACAUGCAAGUCGAACGGCAGCACGGGUGCUUGCACCUGGUGGCGAGUGGCGAACGGGUGAGUAAUGCGUCGGAACGUACCGAGUAAUGGGGGAUAACGCAGCGAAAGUUGUGCUAAUACCGCAUACGCCCUGAGGGGGAAAGUGGGGGACCGCAAGGCCUCACGUUAUUCGAGCGGCCGACGUCUGAUUAGCUAGUUGGUGGGGUAAAGGCCUACCAAGGCGACGAUCAGUAGCGGGUCUGAGAGGAUGAUCCGCCACACUGGGACUGAGACACGGCCCAGACUCCUACGGGAGGCAGCAGUGGGGAAUUUUGGACAAUGGGCGCAAGCCUGAUCCAGCCAUUCCGCGUGAGUGAAGAAGGCCUUCGGGUUGUAAAGCUCUUUCGGCAGGAACGAAACGGCGGGCUCUAACAUAGCCUGUUACUGACGGUACCUGCAGAAGAAGCACCGGCUAACUACGUGCCAACAGCCGCGGUAAUACGUAGGGUGCGAGCGUUAAUCGGAAUUACUGGGCGUAAAGCGUGCGCAGGCGGAUUGUUAAGCAAGACGUGAAAUCCCCGGGCUUAACCUGGGAAUGGCGUUUUGAACUGGCAGUCUAGAGUGCGUCAGAGGGGGGUGGAAUUCCACGUGUAGCAGUGAAAUGCGUAGAGAUGUGGAGGAACACCGAUGGCGAAGGCAGCCCCCUGGGAUGACACUGACGCUCAUGU